GCCACGCCCAGUUUUAUGAAGUGUUAAAGGUC
This 32-nucleotide non-coding RNA is filed under the name Rattus norvegicus (Norway rat). Lineage: Eukaryota; Metazoa; Chordata; Mammalia; Rodentia; Muridae. The record is from RNAcentral.